UAGGGAAUCUUCGGCAAUGGGGGGAACCCUGACCGAGCAACGCCGCGUGAGUGAAGAAGGUUUUCGGAUCGUAAAACUCUGUUGUUAGAGAAGAACAGCGCAUAGAGUAACUGUUAUGCGUGUGACGGUAUCUAACCAGAAAGCCACGGCUAACUACGUGCCAGCAGCCGCGGUAAUACGUAGGUGGCAAGCGUUGUCCGGAUUUAUUGGGCGUAAAGCGAGCGCAGGCGGUCAAUUAAGUCUGAUGUGAAAGCCCCCGGCUCAACCGGGGAGGGUCAUUGGAAACUGGUUGACUUGAGUGCAGAAGAGGAGAGUGGAAUUCCAUGUGUAGCGGUGAAAUGCGUAGAUAUAUGGAGGAACACCAGUGGCGAAGGCGACUCUCUGGUCUGUAACUGACGCGGAGGCUCGAAAGCGUGGGUAGCAAACAGG
Molecule: ribosomal RNA, 429 nt
Filed under: Bacteroidota bacterium
Lineage: Bacteria; Pseudomonadati; Bacteroidota
Description: Bacteroidetes bacterium partial 16S ribosomal RNA
Rfam family: Bacterial small subunit ribosomal RNA
Source: RNAcentral